AGGAUAAUAGUUAAAUCUAACAUUUGAUUUGCAUUCAAAAAAUGUUGACAUAAUCAACUUAUCUU
Molecule: transfer RNA, 65 nt
Filed under: Platychile pallida
Lineage: Eukaryota; Metazoa; Arthropoda; Insecta; Coleoptera; Carabidae
Description: tRNA-Ala
Source: RNAcentral